CGGGGUGAGUAAUGUCUGGGAAACUGCCUGAUGGAGGGGGGUAACUACUGGAAACGGUAGCUAAUACCGCAUAACGUCGCAAGACCAAAGAGGGGGACCUUCGGGCCUCUUGCCAUCGGAUGUGCCCAGAUGGGAUUAGCUAGUAGGUGGGGUAGCGGCUCACCUAGGCGACGAUCCCUAGCUGGUCUGAGAGGAUGACCAGCCACACUGGAACUGAGACACGGUCCAG
RNAcentral lists this ribosomal RNA (229 nucleotides) under uncultured bacterium. RNAcentral describes it as "partial 16S ribosomal RNA". It matches the Rfam family "Bacterial small subunit ribosomal RNA", at positions 104 to 334 of the family's 1533-position model. The record is from RNAcentral.